Molecule: transfer RNA, 63 nt
Filed under: Tropiocolotes tripolitanus
Lineage: Eukaryota; Metazoa; Chordata; Lepidosauria; Squamata; Gekkonidae
Description: tRNA-Ser
Source: RNAcentral
GAGGGGGAAUAACGGCCUGAACUGCUACUUCAACCACCCAGAACUAACCACCUGGCCCUCUUU